GACGAACGCUGGCGGCGUGCUUAACACAUGCAAGUCGAACGGAAAGGCCUGCUUUCCCUUGUGGAUUGCGGGUACUCGAGUGGCGAACGGGUGAGUAACACGUGAGUGAUCUGCCCCCAACUUGGGUAUAAGCCUGGGAAACUGGGUCUAAUUCCCGAUAGGACUGCAGGGUGGUGCCUGUGGUGGAAAACGAUUUUCUAGUGGUUGGGGAUGAGCUCGCGGCCUAUCAGCUUGUUGGUGGGGUAAUGGCCUACCAAGGCGGCGACGGGUAGCCGGCCUGAGGGGGUGGACGGCCACAUUGGGACUGAGAUACGGCCCAGACUCCUACGGGAGGCAGCAGUGGGGAAUAUUGCACAAUGGGCGGAAGCCUGAUGCAGCGACGCCGCGUGGGGGAUGACGGCCUUCGGGUUGUAAACUCCUUUCGACCGCGAGGAAGCCACCUGGUUGGAGGGGUGGUGACGGUAGUGGUAGAAGAAGCACCGGCUAACUACGUG
Molecule: ribosomal RNA, 494 nt
Filed under: uncultured bacterium
Lineage: Bacteria
Description: partial 16S ribosomal RNA
Rfam family: Bacterial small subunit ribosomal RNA
Source: RNAcentral